RNAcentral lists this ribosomal RNA (497 nucleotides) under uncultured bacterium. Its description in RNAcentral is "partial 16S ribosomal RNA". It matches the Rfam family "Bacterial small subunit ribosomal RNA", at positions 28 to 507 of the family's 1533-position model. The record is from RNAcentral.
GAUGAACGCUGGCGGCGUGCCUAAUACAUGCAAGUCGAGCGAACGGACGAGAAGCUUGCUUCUCUGAUGUUAGCGGCGGACGGGUGAGUAACACGUGGAUAACCUACCUAUCAGACUGGGAUAAUUUCGGGAAACCGGAGCUAAUACCGGAUAAUCUUUUGAUCCGCAUGGUUCAAAAGUGAAAGACGGUCUUGCUGUCUCUUCUCGAUGGAUCUAGGCUGCAUUAGCUAGUUGGUAAGGUAACGGCUUACCAAGGCAACGAUGCAUAGCCGACUUGAGAGGGGGAUCGGCCACACGAGAACUGAGACACGGUCCAGACUCCUACGAGAGGCAGCAGUAGGGAAUCUUCCGCAAUGGGCGAAAACCUGACGGAGCAACGCCGCGUGAGUGGUGGAAGUCUUCGGAUCGUAAAACUCUGUUAUUAGGGAAGAACAUAUGUGUAAGUAACUGUGCACAUCUUGACGGUACCUAAUCAGAAAGCCACGGCUAACUACGUG